UCACGUGCUGGGUGGCACUGAGGUGAUGAU
Molecule: non-coding RNA, 30 nt
Filed under: Homo sapiens (human)
Lineage: Eukaryota; Metazoa; Chordata; Mammalia; Primates; Hominidae
Source: RNAcentral